This 804-nucleotide ribosomal RNA is filed under the name uncultured bacterium. RNAcentral describes it as "bacterial SSU rRNA". It matches the Rfam family "Bacterial small subunit ribosomal RNA", at positions 8 to 796 of the family's 1533-position model. The record is from RNAcentral.
AGAGUUUGAUCAUGGCUCAGAACGAACGCUGGCGGCGCGUUUUAAGCAUGCAAGUCGAACGGUAGACCAAUGCUUGCAUUGGUUGAGAGUGGCGAACGGGUGAGUAACACGUAGGUGAUCUACCCUGGGGAUGGGGAUAGCCUGUGGAAACACAGGGUAAUACCGGAUACGCCGAUUUACCAAACCUUUGGUGGAUUGGGAAAGAUGCUAAGGCAUCGACCUGGGAUGAGCCUGCGGCUCAUUAGCUAGUUGGUGGGGUAAAGGCCUACCAAGGCGACGAUGGGUAGCCGGCCUGAGAGGGUGAACGGCCACACUGGGACUGAGAGACGGCCCAGACUCCUACGGGAGGCAGCAGCUAAGAAUCUUCCGCAAUGGGCGAAAGCCUGACGGAGCGACGCCGCGUGGAUGAAGAAGGCCGAAAGGUUGUAAAAUCCUUUUCUUGAUGAAGAAUAAAGGUGGGAGGGAAUGCCCACAAGAUGACGUUAGUCAAGGAAUAAGCCCCGGCUAAUUACGUGCCAGCAGCCGCGGUAACACGUAAGGGGCAAGCGUUGUUCGGAUUUAUUGGGCGUAAAGGGCGUGUAGGCGGUUGUCCAAGCCUGGUGUGAAAGGCUCCGGCUUAACCGGGGUUAGGCGCUGGGAACUGGGCGACUAGAGUUCAGGAGGGGAAGCUGGAAUUCCUGGUGUAGGGGUGAAAUCUGUAGAUAUCAGGAAGAACACCGGUGGCGAAGGCGAGCUUCUGGCCAUGGACUGACGCUGAGGCGCGAAAGCGUGGGGAGCAAACAGGAUUAGAUACCCUAGUAGUCC